This 136-nucleotide small nucleolar RNA is filed under the name Carlito syrichta (Philippine tarsier). RNAcentral's name for it is "U8 small nucleolar RNA (ENSTSYG00000027762.1)". It matches the Rfam family "U8 small nucleolar RNA". Rfam says of the family: U8 is a member of the C/D class of snoRNA which contain the C (UGAUGA) and D (CUGA) box motifs. U8 is the RNA component of a small complex (the U8 snoRNP) which is required for accumulation of mature large subunit ribosomal RNAs, 5.8S and 28S rRNAs. Lineage: Eukaryota; Metazoa; Chordata; Mammalia; Primates; Tarsiidae. The record is from Rfam by way of RNAcentral.
UUGUCAAGUGGGAUAAUCCUGACCUGUUCCUUCUUUUAUAGGGCAGAUUAGAACAUGAUGAUUGGAGUUCCUAUGAUGGGUAAUUAGUGUCUCUGUGUAGUCAGGAUUUGCAACACCCCGAUUGCUCCUACCUGAU